This 253-nucleotide ribosomal RNA is filed under the name uncultured bacterium. RNAcentral describes it as "partial 16S ribosomal RNA". It matches the Rfam family "Bacterial small subunit ribosomal RNA", at positions 524 to 776 of the family's 1533-position model. The record is from RNAcentral.
UACGUAGGGUGCAGGCGUUAAUCGGAAUUACUGGGCGUAAAGCGUGCGCAGGCGGUUUCUUAAGUCAGAUGUGAAAGCCCCGGGCUUAACCUGGGAACUGCGUUUGAAACUGGGAGACUUGAGUGUGGCAGAGGGGGGUGGAAUUCCACGUGUAGCAGUGAAAUGCGUAGAUAUGUGGAGGAACACCGAUGGCGAAGGCAGCCCCCUGGGCCAGCACUGACGCUCAGGCACGAAAGCGUGGGGAGCAAACAGG